UACGAAGGGGGCUAGCAUUGUUCGGAAUUACUGGGCGUAAAGCGUGCGUAGGUGGUUCGUUAAGUCUGAUGUGAAAGCCCUGGGCUCAACCUGGGAAUGGCAUUGGAAACUGGCGACCUAGAGUGCGGUAGAGGGUAGUGGAAUUCCCGGUGUAGCAGUGAAAUGCGUAGAGAUCGGGAGGAACAUCCGUGGCGAAGGCGACUACCUGGACCAGCACUGACACUGAGGCACGAAAGCGUGGGGAGCAAACAGG
This 253-nucleotide ribosomal RNA is filed under the name uncultured bacterium. Its description in RNAcentral is "partial 16S ribosomal RNA". It matches the Rfam family "Bacterial small subunit ribosomal RNA", at positions 524 to 776 of the family's 1533-position model. The record is from RNAcentral.